RNAcentral lists this ribosomal RNA (504 nucleotides) under Copelatus sp. MB7025. Its description in RNAcentral is "SSU rRNA". It matches the Rfam family "Eukaryotic small subunit ribosomal RNA", at positions 130 to 605 of the family's 1831-position model. The record is from RNAcentral. Lineage: Eukaryota; Metazoa; Arthropoda; Insecta; Coleoptera; Dytiscidae.
CACAUUUACUUGGAUAACUGUGGUAAUUCUAGAGCUAAUACAUGCAAACAGAGUUCCGACCGGAGACGGGAGGAAUGCUUUUAUUAGAUCAAAACCAAUCGGCGGCGGGUGCGUUCGCGCGCCCGUUCGCCGCUCAACCUGGUGACUCUGAAUAACUUUCGGCUGAUCGCACGGUCCAGCACCGGCGACGCAUCUUUCAAAUGUCUGCCUUAUCAACUGUCGAUGGUAGGUUCUGCGCCUACCAUGGUCGUAACGGGUAACGGGGAAUCAGGGUUCGAUUCCGGAGAGGGAGCCUGAGAAACGGCUACCACAUCCAAGGAAGGCAGCAGGCGCGCAAAUUACCCACUCCCGGCACGGGGAGGUAGUGACGAAAAAUAACGAUACGGGACUCAUCCGAGGCCCCGUAAUCGGAAUGAGUACACUUUAAAUCCUUUAACGAGGAUCAAUUGGAGGGCAAGUCUGGUGCCAGCAGCCGCGGUAAUUCCAGCUCCAAUAGCGUAUAUU